Molecule: ribosomal RNA, 574 nt
Filed under: Fusarium proliferatum
Lineage: Eukaryota; Fungi; Ascomycota; Sordariomycetes; Hypocreales; Nectriaceae
Description: LSU rRNA
Rfam family: Eukaryotic large subunit ribosomal RNA
Source: RNAcentral
CAACAGGGAUUGCCCUAGUAACGGCGAGUGAAGCGGCAACAGCUCAAAUUUGAAAUCUGGCUCUCGGGCCCGAGUUGUAAUUUGUAGAGGAUACUUUUGAUGCGGUGCCUUCCGAGUUCCCUGGAACGGGACGCCAUAGAGGGUGAGAGCCCCGUCUGGUUGGAUGCCAAAUCUCUGUAAAGUUCCUUCGACGAGUCGAGUAGUUUGGGAAUGCUGCUCUAAAUGGGAGGUAUAUGUCUUCUAAAGCUAAAUACCGGCCAGAGACCGAUAGCGCACAAGUAGAGUGAUCGAAAGAUGAAAAGCACUUUGAAAAGAGAGUUAAAAAGUACGUGAAAUUGUUGAAAGGGAAGCGUUUAUGACCAGACUUGGGCUUGGUUAAUCAUCUGGGGUUCUCCCCAGUGCACUUUUCCAGUCCAGGCCAGCAUCAGUUUUCCCCGGGGGAUAAAGACUUCGGGAAUGUGGCUCUCUUCGGGGAGUGUUAUAGCCCGUUGUGUAAUACCCUGGGGGGGACUGAGGUUCGCGCAUCUGCAAGGAUGCUGGCGUAAUGGUCAUCAACGACCCGUCUUGAAACACG